Molecule: ribosomal RNA, 496 nt
Filed under: uncultured bacterium
Lineage: Bacteria
Description: partial 16S ribosomal RNA
Rfam family: Bacterial small subunit ribosomal RNA
Source: RNAcentral
AUUGAACGCUGGCGGAAUGCUUUACACAUGCAAGUCGAACGGUAGAGGGGGCACCCCCUCGAGAGUGGCGAACGGGUGAGUAAUAUAUCGGAACGUGCCCAGUCGUGGGGGAUAACGUAUCGAAAGUUACGCUAAUACCGCAUACGAUCUACGGAGGAAAGCGGGGGCUCGCAAGACCUCGCGCGAUUUGAGCGGCCGAUAUCAGAUUAGGUAGUUGGUGGGGUAAAGGCUCACCAAGCCAACGAUCUGUAGCUGGUCUGAGAGGACGACCAGCCACACUGGAACUGAGACACGGUCCAGACUCCUACGGGAGGCAGCAGUGGGGAAUUUUGGACAAUGGACGCAAGUCUGAUCCAGCCAUUCCGCGUGCAGGAUGAAGGCCCUCGGGUUGUAAACUGCUUUUGUACGGAACGAAAAGGUUUCCAUUAAUACUGGGAGCUCAUGACGGUACCGUAAGAAUAAGCACCGGCUAACUACGUGCCAGCAGCCGCAGUAA